GAGUUUGAUCAUGGCUCAGGACGAACGCUGGCGGUGCGCCUUAUGCAUGCAAGUUGAGCGAAGCUUUUCAGUAGUUUACUACAGAAAAUGACUGAGCGGCGAACGGGUGAGUAACGCGUGAGCAAUCUACCUUAGUUACUGGGAUAGCCCGAGGAAACUCGGAUUAAUACCGGAUAUUCUUAUUUUUUCACAUGAAGUUUUAAGGAAAGGUCAGCCGAACUAAGAUGAGCUCGCGUUCUAUCAGCUAGUUGGUGGGGUAAAAGCCUACCAAGGCUACGACGGAUAGCUGGUCUGAGAGGACGAUCAGCCACACUGGGACUGAGACACGGCCCAGACUCCUACGGGAGGCUGCAGCAGGGAAUAUUGCGCAAUGAGCGAAAGCUUGACGCAGCGACACCGCGUGUGGGAUGAAGGUUCUAGGAUUGUAAACCACUUUCAGGAGGGAAGAAAAUGACGGUACCUCCACAAGAAGACCCGGCCAACUACGUGCCAGCAGCCGCGGUAAUACGUAGGGGUCAAGCGUUGUCCGGAUUUAUUGGGCGUAAAGAGCUCGUAGGCGGUUCAACAAGUCGGUCGUAAAAGUUUAGGGCUCAACCCUAAAAUGUCGAUCGAUACUGUUGUGACUAGGAUACGGUAGAGGUGAAUGGAAUUCCGAGUGUAGCGGUGAAAUGCGUAGAUAUUCGGAGGAACACCAAUUGCGAAGGCAGUUCACUGGACCGUGAUCGACGCUGAGGAGCGAAAGCUAGGGGAGCAAACAGGAUUAGAUACCCUGGUAGUCCUAGCUGUAAACGAUGGAUACUAGAUGUAGGAACUGGAUUGACGGUUUCUGUAUCGUAGCUAACGCGUUAAGUAUCCCGCCUGGG
RNAcentral lists this ribosomal RNA (863 nucleotides) under uncultured bacterium. RNAcentral's name for it is "bacterial SSU rRNA". It matches the Rfam family "Bacterial small subunit ribosomal RNA", at positions 9 to 873 of the family's 1533-position model. The record is from RNAcentral.